Molecule: non-coding RNA, 218 nt
Organism: Pelobates cultripes (western spadefoot toad)
Lineage: Eukaryota; Metazoa; Chordata; Amphibia; Anura; Pelobatidae
Source: the annotation of a GenBank genome assembly
CGAAUGCAGCCGAAAUUCCACCGGGGUAUAGUUUAGACUGACCGCACAUGAGGUUCCUGCCAAAAAAGGUUCCAUGAAAUUAGGCUGUGCGGUUGGUCUCUUUCAGGAGUAUUAAAAAUACGAAACACCAGGCAUGAACUUGUUGUUCUGUGUAUCUUGUUCGGGAGUUUGCUCCCCCCGAACGCCACUCUGUUCAUCUGAAUCCCCACGAACCUAAC